Molecule: ribosomal RNA, 465 nt
Filed under: Vreelandella stevensii
Lineage: Bacteria; Pseudomonadati; Pseudomonadota; Gammaproteobacteria; Oceanospirillales; Halomonadaceae
Description: partial 16S ribosomal RNA
Rfam family: Bacterial small subunit ribosomal RNA
Source: RNAcentral
CCUACGGGAGGCAGCAGUGGGGAAUAUUGGACAAUGGGUGAAAGCCUGAUCCAGCCAUGCCGCGUGUGUGAAGAAGGCCUUCGGGUUGUAAAGCACUUUCAGUGGGGAAGAAAGCCUUGGGGCUAAUACCCUCGAGGAAGGACAUCACCCACAGAAGAAGCACCGGCUAACUCCGUGCCAGCAGCCGCGGUAAUACGGAGGGUGCGAGCGUUAAUCGGAAUUACUGGGCGUAAAGCGCGCGUAGGCGGUCUGAUAAGCCGGUUGUGAAAGCCCCGGGCUCAACCUGGGAACGGCAUCCGGAACUGUCAGGCUAGAGUGCAGGAGAGGAAGGUAGAAUUCCCGGUGUAGCGGUGAAAUGCGUAGAGAUCGGGAGGAAUACCAGUGGCGAAGGCGGCCUUCUGGACUGACACUGACGCUGAGGUGCGAAAGCGUGGGUAGCAAACAGGAUUAGAUACCCUUGUAGUC